Molecule: unclassified non-coding RNA, 701 nt
Filed under: Cloning vector pIDN4
Source: RNAcentral
GCAAACAAAAAAACCACCGCUACCAGCGGUGGUUUGUUUGCCGGAUCAAGAGCUACCAACUCUUUUUCCGAAGGUAACUGGCUUCAGCAGAGCGCAGAUACCAAAUACUGUCCUUCUAGUGUAGCCGUAGUUAGGCCACCACUUCAAGAACUCUGUAGCACCGCCUACAUACCUCGCUCUGCUAAUCCUGUUACCAGUGGCUGCUGCCAGUGGCGAUAAGUCGUGUCUUACCGGGUUGGACUCAAGACGAUAGUUACCGGAUAAGGCGCAGCGGUCGGGCUGAACGGGGGGUUCGUGCACACAGCCCAGCUUGGAGCGAACGACCUACACCGAACUGAGAUACCUACAGCGUGAGCUAUGAGAAAGCGCCACGCUUCCCGAAGGGAGAAAGGCGGACAGGUAUCCGGUAAGCGGCAGGGUCGGAACAGGAGAGCGCACGAGGGAGCUUCCAGGGGGAAACGCCUGGUAUCUUUAUAGUCCUGUCGGGUUUCGCCACCUCUGACUUGAGCGUCGAUUUUUGUGAUGCUCGUCAGGGGGGCGGAGCCUAUGGAAAAACGCCAGCAACGCGGCCUUUUUACGGUUCCUGGCCUUUUGCUGGCCUUUUGCUCACAUGUUCUUUCCUGCGUUAUCCCCUGAUUCUGUGGAUAACCGUAUUACCGCCUUUGAGUGAGCUGAUACCGCUCGCCGCAGCCGAACGACCG